GCGCACAAGCGGGCAGCUCCUCAGCCGUGAGGCGGCCAGCGCCCUCCUAGCCCCGCGGCGAGGCAAAGGAGACCGGCGCGGUGGGCAACCCGAGGGUUACAGGGAUGCCGAUCCCCUAUUUCCGCAUGGGGCACAGCAGCGGCCGGCCACCCUGCGCUCCCCUUCUGCCUGAGCGGCUGCGCAGAGCCGAGCGGCGCGGGAUGGUGGCUCUCCCCGCCCCGGCCGGGCCGCGGGGCGGAGCUGCGGGAAGCGGCCGCUGCAGCCGGCCCUGACUGUCUCGGUACCGGGCUGGGCGCCCCUGGGAUUGCCGUAAUUUCCCCCCGACCCCCAAUCCCUGCCCUUCUGCCUCGCGGUGCCGGGGCCCGGAGCGGCGCAGCCCGCUCCCUUCCCGCCGCCGCGCAGGCCCGGCGGUGCGAGGCAUGAAGCUGAGCAAAGCCCAGUACGAUGAGAUAGCCCAGUUCCUGGGGCACGUGCAGCCCACCCGGCAGAGCCUGAGGAAGCUAAAGGAGAAGUUCCCUAGUCAAUCGCAGUCCACUCUGCUGAGCAUCUUCUCCCAGGAGUACCAGAAACAAAUCAAAAGAACACAUGCCAAGCAUCACACCUCUGAAGCUGUUGAAACUUACUACCAAAGGUACCUGAAUGGGGUGAUGAAAAAUGCAGCUGCCCCUGUGUUACUGGAGCUGGCCAAUGAGGUGGACUUUGCCCCAUCAUUAAUGGCUCGUAUUGUGUUAGAAAGAUUUCUGCAAGAAAAAGAACAAGUCAUUCCCUCCAAAACUCUUAUAAAUAGCAUGCUACGGGACCCUUCUCAGAUUCCAGAUGGAGUACUAGCAAAUCAAGUCUAUCAGUGUACUGUGAACGACUGUUGUUAUGGACCACUGGUGGACUGCAUCAAACACGCUAUUGGGCAUGAACACGAAGUCUUGCUGCGAGAAAUGCUUUUGGAAAAAAAUCUCUCUUUCAUAGCUGAAGAUCAGCUUCGUGCAAAGGGUUAUGACAAAACACCAGACUUCAUUUUAGAAGUGCCAGUAGCUGUUGAAGGACAUAUAAUUCACUGGAUUGAAAGCAAAGCCUCAUUUGGUGAUGAAAGCAGCCACCAAGCCUACUUGCAGGACCAGUUUUGGAGCUACUGGAACAGACCUUGAACUGGAGCACAAAUGAAUAGCACAGCCUCCGUAUCAUCUACUGGGCAAUGACCGUGUAAGAAGGGUAGCUGAGUUACUGCUAAAAAUGUACAAAAGUGUGGCACAGUUAUGCAUGAAGGUGCUCCAUGAUUUUCUUUGUUGCUGGACUUCCUGAGGCUUGAGGCCUCGUAAUCACCCAGACUACAAGAGCAUGGAAGAGCACAUGCACAGCAAAGUGCUUUCUGUUUUCAACUUGUUGUGUCCUUUUCAUCCCACUCAUCCCCUCUGGUGUGGUUGGGCUAUUAAGUGUGGUAGUGCUUCAGCAGAAUAUACGCCACAGUCAGAUAUUCUCCAAUCUGCAGCUGAUGGGCUUCUGCACAAGCAUUAGUUUUUAUCACUUCCGUUGGGCUUGUAAGUCCAAUAGAAGCUCAAGUCAAAUGCCUUCUAUUUCCAUGACAAAUUUUGCUGGCGCUGGUCUCUUUUAUCUGGUGACCAAUGACAGAACCCAAGGAAAUGGCAGGAAGAUGUGCCAGGGGAGGUUUAGAUUGGACAUCAGGAAAAAGUUCUUCACCCAGAGGGUGGUGGACACUGGAACAGGCUCCCCAGGGACGUGUCACGGCCCCAAGCCUGACAGUGUUCAAGAAGAGACUGGACUAUGCCCUCAGACACAUGGUGUGAACUGUGACGUUGUCAUAUGCAGGGACAGGAGCUGAACUCCAUGAUCCUUGUGGGUCCCUUCCAACUCAGGGCAUUCUGCGAUUCUGUAUUUUUAGGCUUUCUUCACAAGCAUAACUACGACAUACUGGAUAGCACAUUUGUUUUUUUUAUUUUCCUAAAUAGUUUGCAGCACACUGGUCAGGUCUCAACAGGCCGUGCAUCUUACCUUUCUUCUGGUUCCAUUUUGCUAAAACAUUUUAGAUGGUUUUCAUUUAUCCUUAAUUUAUUAAAUAUAAGCUUAUUACAUAAAUGCAUUACAGUUGUGCAUGCAAUAUCUUAUUGUCUGUAAUCUGGGUCUAUGUUUUUCAUCUGCGCUUGGACUGUGUCUAAGCACUCCAUAGAAAGUAAAGGAAAAUAAGCCUUUUGUAUGCAAAUUUGUAUUCAUUAUGUAUAUUGCAAAACUGCUAGGCAUUUACAAAUUGUAAGAGACAAAUACUGAUCUACGUGCUUAUCCUGGAGGAGUGUGUGGCAGACUUUGCUUAGAUUUCUGCUGCUACAUGUAUUCUGGGAAACAGUGGAUGUUGCUGUUUGUCAAACCAUACAGUAUGUAAAUUUUGGGAGUUAUGUAUUCUGGAAGAUUAAGGGCUGAUUGAAUGGGGAUAAGAGGAAGCUUUUAAAAAGCUAAAUGUAGUUAGUUUUUUUCUUUCUCCCAGUAGCACCUUAGACUGCAUGAUUUAAUAUACUAUCAAAAGGAGAAUAAUUCAGCUGAAAAUAUGUUCUGAGAGAAUUUGGUGACACCAUACCUUUCACCCUCUGAGAACCUGUAUGUCCCUGAUUUUGAGUAUAAAGAGAAUACUAAUAUUCAGGUGAUAUUCCUUCUGUUCUCAUCUGCAAGUGAGAAUAUUCAACAUGUCAAUCUGUGUUCCUUUAGCAUUUCCUUUAGUUUAACACCAUCUUCAAAAAGUGAGCAGGAAUCCAACUGGAAAGGUACAGGUGACUUCUGCCUGAGGAGACAAGUAAAAUUAAUUGGCAAAUUAAUUACAAUAUUACUAGACUAGAGCAGAAAUUGCUGACUUCUUUUUUGCCCAUUUGAGACCACUUGCAUUACGUUCAGAAGAAUGUAGUAAGAUGUGCCAGCAAACCCACGGUAUAAAAAUCCAACUUUGAGGUGUUAAAGGUUUAGCUGAUGCUAGCAGAGACUGCUGAUAAUUUUUAUGUAAACAAUAUCAGCUACCACGUUGUUUAUCAAAGCACAUAGGAAGAUGGUUUCUGCUUCUAAAAGUUACAGGAUGAUCACAGCAGACAGGGGCACCAGCAUCUGUCAUGGCACUAGGAGGGGAUUACCCGCUGUAUUAAGCUGUUACACUUUCUCACUGGAAACUGCUGUCUGGACACUUUCAGUGUAAGAAUGUUUUUGUGGUGGAAAAAUUGCUGUAGUCUCAACAUACUCAGUUAAGGAUUCAGUGUCAUCGCCAAGUAACAGUGUAUGUAGAAGUGACAGAACUGAAAUCUGAGUAUAAAGUUAUUAAUUGAGGGGUGAUUAAGAUGGCAUGUGAUAUCCAUAGGAGAUGUUCAGAGAGCUUUGUAGUGGGUACAAUAGCAAUGAUUAGAAGAAGGAAUGCUGAUCCCUUCAUGCAUGAAAUAGUUUAUCCCACUAUGGAGCCCAGGAAACUAAUAAAGCUUCUGUGGACCAAAGCCAUAGAGGCUUAUUUUGACCAGAUUAAGACAUUUGCUAGAAAUGCUUGCCUUGUUUUUUUCUUUCUCUUUUGCAAAAAGAAAUGGGGAAACAAGCAGUUACAUCAGAAAAGGCAAAUCGUGAAAAGAAUUAUUGUAGAGUUACUCUUAUCACCAGAGAUCAAUCCUUGUAUUUUAGAAAAAAAAAAGGUUUUAACCAUGUUCUAAAAUUUGAAAAUAAUUAAAUGGAGUUUUUUCAUUUUUUACAGUGAAUUUUAGUGACUCGAAAAUGCCUGUGAUUCAGGAAAUGUGAGCAUAAGUUAACCUGAUACUGAUUAGAAACCUGGAAACAGAUCAGCAGAACAUAAAGCAGCUAUUGCACAUAUGUCUUGAUAACGUCUGUAAAUGUUUCUACAUGAAAUACACAGAUGAGGAUUACAAAGAUUCUUACUUUUCAAAAUGUUUAUACUAUUUCAAUCUACUGUUUUCUAGAAAGGCUCUUCUAUAUUUCUCUGUCAAAGGAGUCUUUAAGACAAGCAAAUUCUAUAAAUAUACCUUGGGAUAGUAGACAAUAUAUAAACACUUCUCAGAUUUCUUUUGUGUAUACUAUGUGGUUUUCCUUUCAUACCAUAGUUACCAAAAAUUCACUGUGUAAAUCACAUUAUAUGUUGUUUGUAUCAGAGUGGAAAAAUAUAAUACGCUGCAUAAUUUAAAAUGUCAGCAUCAUGAGUUGCUGAUAUUUUCCACUGCAUGUGAAUACCAAGUUGAAUGUUCAAACAGUUUUUAAUAAGGAGAUAGCAUUUGUUUCAACCUAUCAAUAUAUAAUUCCUCAGUACAGAUGCCAUGUAAUUGCUUUAUCCCAGAGGAAUGUGAAAGCCGCUGACAAAGUGAAAACUUGAAAGAAAACUUCAGUGGGAGCUAAAGGUCCCAGUUUCUUUUCCAUGUCCUAAAAUUAGUAAAGAAGAGGAACCCUUCAGUUUUAAUAAAUAAGUUUGAGAAGAAACUGGAAUAGGAAUCAACUUCACUGCUUUCCCUUCUUUAUACUACAAUUCUAAAGAGAUCUCUAUCUGCUGAAAUUUAAUACGGUGCAGUAUCAUUGUCUAAGUUUUCAUAGGAUUUGACUGAACUUCAUCCCAACUAAUCAGUCAUUUUGUGAGAGAAGCUGAUGUCUCAUCUGCCAUUUUCAUGGGAAAAAAAAAAAAAAAUAGAGGCAACAAUCCUGCUGCCUUUUGCAGGUGUACUCGUCUUUUUACCUAAGGCAAACUUGUACCAUACAAAGAUUAAAACUCAGGCUUUCAACAUAAAUGUUUUCAAGUAUUUUUAACAAGUAGAAUUAAGCAGAGGUGCAAAUAUGUGAUCCAUCUGUAGCAAUUAAUAACUGUAUUCAGUUAUAUGUUAAAAACAUACAGGCAUUGUUUUGGCUUAAAUUACUUUGUGCAGAAGUGAUCCCAUAUUAGGAUCUAUUUACCAACAAAUAUUUAAAUUUUCAUUGUCUUCUGAAUUCAAAAGUAGAAAGCCUCUUGCAGUCUUUGGGCAAAGGGAUAAAAACACAGAAAUGGGAAAGAAAGUUGUCCUCGCACACUGAUAGUUUUCACCUCUCACAACUUUUUUUUUUUUCCUUUGCUACAGUUAGUGACAUAAGGAGUACUUUAACUGAGCUUUUAAUGCUUUUCUUGAGGUAAAGAAAUUCCACCUUCAAAUAUUAUCCUAAGUCCUAGGUAAUCCAGUUCUUAAACAGUAGGUCUGCAGAGAAAGCAAUAGAAAACAUUAUGGAGAAGAAAGCCUUUAUGACAUGACUAAAAAAAAAAUCUGUUCCUACUGUUGUUUAACAAUGACUUUUGAAAUACAGCACUUCUAAUUUAGUUUUACUUGAUACAUAAUUAAACUACAGAACUCACUAUGAUUGUGUUAUUGCCUCUUGAAGUUUAUGAAAAACAUGAGUAUUUAAACAUCAUUUUAUACCAAUUUAUGAUAACAAAAAAGAUUGUUUGCUCUUUCACAAGAUGAGAUAUAAAUACUUACAAGAUAUAAAAGGCUUGUCAAAGAAAUCUCUAAUUGCCUUGAAUUAAAAAGGUUUUGAAAAGAUAUCUAGGAGGUUGUAUUUUGCGUUGUUUUGUUAUGUUUUUGUUGUUCUUUUUGAAGCAGAGUGGUUACUAUCAAGAAUAGAGGACAAAACUUGGAACACUUACUUUGGUAUUUUAUAUCAUUGUUCUUUUUCAGUUUGAUGAUAUUUUUAUUAUGUGAACCUGCUUUUUAAAAACAUAUUAUGUCUUUUCUCUAAGCAAUAUGAAUUAAGAGUAAAAUCUCAACUUUGCUGUUAUUUUUCAUAUCUGGAGAUUUUCUGUUAGCAUACAAAGUGGCUUUGGGUUGAACUAUUUCCCUGCACCAUUACACAUUAUGUUAGUUAUUGUUUACUGCAUGUAUUGAAACUACACCUGAAAGUCCUAAUAAAAUGUGUUAGAAAUUGACAUAGAACAGAACAAGAGAUACUUGGUCCUACAGAAUUUAAUGUUCAAGUAUAAUGACAAGAGUCAACAGAUGUUUAUAGUGCAGUGCAAAGAGUCAAUAAGAUAAUAUUGGCCAGCGUAGUAUUCACUGAUCUGAGUAUGUCAGCAGCCUGCUAAAUUUUGCAUGUGUUUUGACAGGUGAGAGAUUUAGAGGAAAAUAACAGAUUGGUUUUGUUAAUGCUUUUUGCGAAUUAUUGCUAACCUUGAGAGGCAAUUGGGGAUAAAGGAUAAAGGUGGUUUGCCAUUUCAGUGUGGGAUUUGACAGUUUGCUAGAGAAAGGAGAGAGAUGAUAGAACUGUGAAAGGCAUGUAGGUCUUCCUCUGUAACAGGUCUUCCACUUUCCAGGCACAAAGAAAGACAUUAUAAACUUAAAUGGUCCCACUUUUUUUUUUUUUUGCAAAAUUGUUUUGGAUGGAGAUAAGUGGAGCAGACUGCACUGAUCAAGUUCAUAGAAAGGUAUUUUGCUGAAAUACAGAGAAGAAGUGAGCACUUUUAAGGAAAUCUCAUCUGUGUUGAUGAAAUGAGAAAGUAGGAAAUAAAGAUGCCCUGAAGAAAGCCAGAUUUGAACAUGCCAGAUACGAGGAGCUACAGAGGGCCAUAGGUGUUUUUAAUAAAUGAGAUGAUCAUGUUGACUGUAAUGAUUACAAAAGAAGGGUGAGAAGAAUAAAGAUUAGAAAGUUCUGUUUAGCUACAUUGCUAAUUUUCUGGUUUUGAAAUACAUAGACUAAGUUGUCAGAGUACAGGCAUCAUCAUUAGUUUCAACUUUUGUGAGACAUACCUGGGGGAGUGUAGACCUCAUUUGUCAUCCCAUUUGUUAUUGACCUGUGCACCAUGAAAGGAGAGGGCCCAAGUGUAACUUUGAGAUAUCCAUUAUGAUUCUAGGUCCAUAUGUCCUCAUUGUACCUUUACUAGCAAUGAAGUUUCCACCACUUUUCGUUUCUGAAUGCAUGCAACAUACUCAUGACAAGUUAGUUCUUGGAAGAUCUGAGACCCAUAUGCUAAAUGGGAUGCUUUGUCAAGAGAGACACCUCUUCAAGCACUCUUGUGAUGAUCUCGAGUUCAUACUGCAAGGCUCUACCCAUAAACGCAAGACAAAUCUGCUUUUAAGACAACCUGUUGCAAUGCCCUGAAUCAGUAAGGUGGAUGUACUCACUGAGGUUGCACUUAAAUUAGAGUUUCUAAAUAAGAUUCUCCUACAUAAGAUUCAGAGAAACUAAGCUCAAAGCCCUUGGGAGCUCCCAUGUAGAGCUGUAGAAGAGUUCUGGAAAAUCCUCUACAAGACAUACAAGUCUAAAACAAACCUCCCAGAUCUCAAAUACCUAGCAGGAGGACACGCACUUUCUGACUGAAGCCUUUCAGAAGCAGUGGGCCCACAUUUGUGCCUGUGAAAUGCAGACUAAAGCAGUGUGUCAAGUCCCGUGGAGGUAUGCAUAUGCUCCUGCUUCCAUUGAUACCACCUUUUUUAAUUGAAGUCAUAGAAAUCUGGUGGUUUGGAUGUGUGGAAAACCCAGUCAGGUAACAGUUAGCAAAAAUAGUUGAACUGUGUACCUUCAGAGCAACUCUUCUGUUGAACAUCCAAACUACGGCUGAGAUACCAUCCUGAACUGCAACCUAUUGGUUAAUACAUUCAUGAGCCUGGAGGUUAUGCUGGGAAUAGAAGAUGCAAGAGUAACAAGAGGAAUGUUCUACCAAAACCAUACUGACUAUAGCCAGAACUGGAAGAUAAUAAUCUUCUUCCUGUGAGAGAUCUGGUCUGUAGGUAACAGGUCUUUCUGUUUAGCAUUCUACAUUAUAAGUAUUGGAUUUGUUCUUUUCCCUAUUUCCACAAUGGUACUAUUAGGGGAUUGUAUUACUUACUUUUAUAGGGAAACACUGAUACUGCCAUUUGAGAAAGUUCUAGGGAUCUUGUUUAUAUUCAAGUGUUUUUCAUUUAAAUCGUGGUACUGUUUAACUCUUAGCCCUGAAGAUAGAGGGAGGCUCUGCAAUAUUUCAGAGAAUAGCUAAGAAAACUAUCACUUUGAGAUUAAAUGAGAUAAAUCUGAUUUCAGAAACUCACAGAACCUUAAAUAAAUAAAUAAAUAGGAGGCAGUGAAGGCCAUACAAGUAGCUUUAUGUUACAUUACUGCUAUUAUUCCUGUUGCUUGAUCCCUUUGGUUUUCUGCAUUCAAAACAAACUCUACCCAAACCUUAGGACUCAUGGACUUCAUGAACAUGCAUUUCUGCAUAUGGAAACAAUUCUUUUGAUACCACAGUGCAGUCAAUUUUGAUGCUUUAAAGGUCAAUAGUUUACGAUGUUACAGGACAAUUCAAAUUCCAUUGACCUCAUCAAAUUCUGUAAGAGAAUGUAUCAGGCAUAGUCCCAGAGAGUUAGUAACAGGUUUUCAUUGUUGCCCCUGCAAAAGAUGCACAAUGCCUUUUUUUGUCCUUACUAGUACACCCAGAUUUAUAUGGUUUCUUGGUUCUUUUGGGAUUUCAGUAGAAUUUUUUACCUUAUCAUGACACAAAUAUCUUGAUGUUAUCAAUUCCAUGGGUUUAAUAGUGCUACCUUUACCAAUAAGUUCUAUUAACUUGUUUUUCAAGACAAGAAGAUACUCAAAAUGUUUUUAAAAAUCUAAAAUACACAUUGGCUCUGUUGUGUAAACUGGUCACUGUAAUUUUCCUCUUGAAGUCUGAAGAACCAUCUGCAGCUUUUAAGUACAUAUAUAUUCCUAAUGUACUUUGGAGCUUUAAUUCUUACAUUUAUUUUUCUGAUUCUAUAUGUUAUCCAAAUUAUCCUAAUUAUAUACAUCAUACGAAUUAUCACUUUUUAAGAGGGAAAAAAUGCUUUCUGAUUUUAUGAGAAGCUUCAGCUUGGCCUAUAUUCUGAAAAGUUCAUGUUGUUAAUAUUAUGGAAGAGCAAAAUAACCUGCAAAAAUCCAUACAGGUCAGCAUUCUUACAUACAAACUUAGAACAUAUGAAAUUACGUUGUGCAAGUAAUGAAAAUUAAAUCAGGACAAAAUUGGAGAAAGAAGAGAAGGAGGAGAAAACGGAAAGUAUUGAGUUAGUGGAUAUAUGCAUUCCUAUUUCUAUUGUCAACAUGAUCUUAAACCAAUUGUAUUACAAAACUUGGAGUAUGUGUGUGUUGUGACAACAUAGUCAGUCUCUUCAGAUUCAAUUUCUUGUCCUCCUGUGAUUGGUAUAUGCUGCAGUCCUGCUAUUCCAUGUGUAUUCAUCUCCACACAAGAAGAAAAACUCUGAGGUUUUUUUCAGCAGUUACCUUUCUCUUCGUGUUUUGAGGUGAUGCUUUCCGAAGUCCAAGUUGAAGUCUUGUUCACUUAAAGUUUAAGAACAAUAUUACUGUUAGUAUUUCAUUUGAAUAUGAAAGAAAUGCAGUUUUCAUGUGAAAAACACUUCUUUUUCUCCAGUUUCAAAUCAAAUAACAGAACAAAGGCACACAUAACUUUUACUUGCCAUGCAGCCUAUGCAGGGUGUCUGGGGUAGAACUAUAAAUAGUAUGGAAAAUGAUGAUUUUUAUAUUGUUCUCUAGAUUAAAUCAUUGUUUUGCUAGAGACAGUGGGUAGUUAUCCACUAACUGCAUUGGGCUGUGAUUUGACCUUGUGACAGUGGUUCCCCCUUUGUGACAGCGUGUUUGCCAAGCUUGCCUUCAGAAGUAUAUAAUGUUGUUCUUUAGAGUGAGCUAAGAGUCUUGUAAUUGAAAAGUUCACAAGAAACCUUUAAAAAUGAAAUUCUAAAAGUAUCAGAGGUGCUAAUAGUCUAUGUGCAUACUCUAGGAUUGGCUGUUGCUAAUGGUCCGAGCUUUAUAUUACAAAUCAAAUUCAACCUGAUGAUCCUGUGUUGCAUAAGCAAAUUCUAAAUUUUGUUUCAAAAGUUUUAAAGUAACUGUGUCACUGGAGAUACACGGUGUUGUAAAACAACUGAUAAAAUAUCAUUUCCUAAAUGCAGAUUUUCGUGACAUCAAAACUGAAGGAACCAUCAAAACUGGAAGUUAUUUCAGUCACUUGUGCGAACUGUGAACACUCAAUCGUGAAGUGCCUGUGCAUUGCUUUGUUUUGUUUGUCCUCUGCAAAAGACUGGAUGUUUAAUGCAAAAAAUUGCAUCAUCAAAUUUUAAAGUUGAAACUCGUUAGUUUCUUGAGUAACUUAAAGGUUGCUAUGGUAACAUUAGCCCAUGCAUUUUUCAGCUACUUUAAGUAAUAGUUAUGUAAUGAACAGUCUUGACUAAUCAUCAAAGUACUGUAUGCAAAGUAGGUACAUUAAUGUUAUGACAAGUUCUGGACCCAAUUCAGCAUGCAGUGAUUGGUUUAAGUUCCUAACUGAAACUGUUUGCCCAUUAUUUUUGUAUUUAAGACAUUUAUAGCGGAAUUUCUGAAUGUAGCUAUUGGAAGUGCUAAUAGGUAUAAUGUUAUUAAUUGUGUUUUUGAAACCUGCUGAUGUGAAGGUACAGUCUCCCUGUUGUCAUCAUCUUUAUUGUAUUGCCUAGUGGAUGCAGCCCUUGUGGAUGUGUGUAUGCAUGUAGAGAUUUUUAAAGUGUAGAUGAGAUGGAUGUUUAGUUACGAAGACGCAGACACUUAUGGAAUAGGAAAUUGUAAAAAACCAUGUGCUCUAUUUUUGUCUCUUCCAGGGUGCAACUGUUGCAGGUUUGGGUGGAAGAGGGGGCUUUGCUUCUUAAGGCAUAUGAAUAGUCCAUAUGCAAUUUUCAACCUGAAAGGCUAAACUGAUUUUCUGUUUUAAGAUCUGAAGUUAGAGGAGAUAUAACUUCAAAGUGAAUCAGAGCUAUGUUUAUCCCUCUUAUAUGUCAGAGUUUAAGUGCAAUGUUUUAUGUAUACAGUCAUCAUGACAGUUAAAAAGGCUAUAAAGAAAAGCAAUUAUAUAAUUGCUUUAAAGAAUUAAGUAGCACGGAUAAAGGCUUUUAGAAACUGCAGAGCAGUUUUAAUAAUUAUAUCACCUGAAGUCAAGCUGCAAAAUUAUGUCCUAAUUAUUUGCAAUGAGUAAUUAUCUAUAAAGUUAUAAGCUUUGCAAGAUUUUAUGGGAGAGCUGGGGAAUUCUUUGGUUUUUUUUUUCCCACACACACUAAAACAACACCCCGUCAUUUUCUAUUUUAGUAGUUUCCACAACUUAAACAUUAAAUUCUUAUUGUUGCUUUCUCUUAUAUUAGUAGUGUGUGUUUUGCAAUUCUAAUCUUCACGUUCUUCUUUCUUUAUCACCGAAGUAGGCCUUUUGAAGCCAGGGAAUUUUUCAUAGCAAUAUUGACAGUGUUCGCAUUUGCAUGAUGACAGCCAAGGAAUGGAGCAGUAAUUUUUGAAAUUGCAGAAGUAUUUAGAACACUGAUAAAAGCUGAAAUAUAUUUUUGAUGGAUUGAAGUUAAGCAUACAUGAUUUUUCCUGCUGUCAGAAGGCUCUGAAUUUAGUGAAUAUUUGCCUGCUGUGAGAAUGCAAGAUUAACAUCACAACCAUCACCCGGGCACCCAAACCCUGCAAUUUAAUAGCUUUUUAGGUUCUUUCCUUUUUCUAAACAGCAAUUAAUCUCAUUUUAGUACAAUUUUCUCGUUUCUGAAGUCGCUCAUUGAAUCGCUGUUUUGUUCAUAUUUGGCUUCAGCUCCUCUGCAUAGUCAUUAAAGUCCCAAUUAAUGUCACCUUUAGCUGAAGAGUACUCAUUUUUAUUGAGAAAAUGACAGUUGCUGCCAUGAGUAGUGCAGUGUAAUAUACAUUAAUUGCCCUGUAACACUGGUAAUUACGAGUUUUUCAAGCCUCUCAGUAAACUGUCAUGCCUAGACAAGACUGUGCUAAAAUAGAUUACUCAUUAGGGAGACCUGUCCUGUUUUCUGGUGGGUUCUUAGUGUAGGUUUAAAAAAAAUCUUGAGUUUGAACAAAUAGUUGCCAAAAGCAAUUUCCUACAACAACAUGUCUGUGUUCAGUUUUCCAGCCAUCACUUAAGCCUGCGGUCAGCAAACAGACAGGGUGCUGUGGACUCUAGAGAUGUCAAGAUCUCAAUGUUUAUUUAGGUGGAUCACAAGGAUAAGCUUAGCAAUUCAUAAUUCAGUGCUUAAUAUGGAUAUUAUUAAAGCUGCCUUUUUCACUGUUGUGUUUAUAACAGGUCUACCUGACAUUUUAGAAGAGCAGUCAACGUUAUCAAUAUUUUAUGCCCCAAACGACUUUAACAGAGUACUACAGACUGUCUAGUGAGUUGGAAUUACUAAAUCCAUUCUCAAAUAAUUCUUGUAUAGGAGCAGCAGGGAUUAUGUUGCAGAUUAUGUGGAAUAAUUAUCAAAUCUUUCAGGAGCUGUAUGGCAUUAUAAGGUGUUUUUUGUCAGAAAAUUAGAAAAAAUAUGUGGAGAGAAUUCAGUUAAUAUUGUGACCCCCUCUGAAAAUCAGGCUUCGUAUUGUAUAUUGUUAAAAGACUUACCUGCUUACCUGAGAUAUGGUGGGAAGCGAGUGUUCUUAAUUUCAGAAGGAAUGUAUUUCACUGCUUUCUCUUUCCGUCUCUCUCAUAUUUUAUGUUUGUUUUUAAGGACAAAGUAGUCUCCUUUAAAGCUCGUGGUAGCACUGGACUGACAAAAGAAACCUUUGUUUUAUCUUUGUUAUAACACCUGCUUUAGGCAAUCUGCUCUUUCACGCUCUUUCUAAAUGAAUUUUGUCACAGCCUUUCAUAUUCUCUUGCAGAGACGAGCUAAUGAAAGUAGAUAGUACAAUUUGUGCUGACCAGGUAGCAACUGCCAGCUUGCAGCUGAGGAUAGUUUAAAGAAAUAAAUAAAAUAUAGCAUUAUAUCGCUGAUUUAUCCAUUACAUGACAUUAAUAGUGAGAAACCUUGGUGUGUUUAUCUGUUUGUAUUGGUGUGCGUUUAUCGAAUUGUUUAUGACAAGACUAAUUGGGGUAAUUGUAGACACUGAAAUUACCUGUCAGCUAUAUGUAACCACACUCCCUUUCUUUCUGACAAAUGAUGACAACUGAGGGACCCCGUAGCAUUACUCAUGAUGGCUUUUCGAGUGGUAAUAAGGACAAUAGGGGCCCUGGCUAAUUUGACAUGGACAGCCUUCACAACAAGAAGCCAGCUAAAUGACUUGUCAGUAGGGGAAAGAAGUCAGAAAAGUAAUGGAGUCCCCCAUGGCGCUCUGACAGGGAGAUGAGGCAAUUUCAACGGAAAGUGAAAAGGCUUCAGUUUGUCAAGUAUUUAGAACAAUCAGAGAACAGCUAGAGGCUGGAACCUGACAAUAAAUUUGUGAACCAUGGUAGCAGUUUCAUAUAGGUCAGUUAUUUCAUAAUGGCUGUGAAGCUUUCAGAGGUUUCUGCUUUCGUAGCGUACUUCACAUCAGCCAACUGGUGCUUUGUCACCUUAAAUUUGUGCUUCACUUUGCACAGUAGGAAUAAUGGUUAAGGUUACACAGGAACGGCAGUGUGAGACAGCAUGAUUUGCAGACACCAAUCUGUUGAAAAAUAAACAAAAAUUUAGAUAGUAAUAGUGUGAUUGCAUCCAUUACAAGCUAGCGGUGUUAACAUGUUCUUUAUGAUUUUGGCCUGCACCCUUUUUAUGGAUAAGUGGAGUACUUUCUUUCUCGUGGACAAAACUAAUAAAACAUAAGCCCCUGUUCCUAUCCUUUCACCCUACUGUACAUAGUUAAAAUUUCUUCAGGUUCAUUUCCUGCUGCUUGCUCUUGAAAUGUAUUCCAGUUCUGUGGUGUUGACAUCUAUUGAGACACUAUAACUGGUGGUACAAAAGGAGAAUUUAUGAUUUUUUGGGUGCUCUGCAGAAAAUGAUGUUAAGGAUUCAAAAACAAAAUUUAAAAAAACCUUGCAGACUUAAAUAGCAGUUCUGUGUCCCACUGAUAGUGGGUCUUUUUAUCUGUGGCUUCAGGAGUCUGUUAGGUUUUUUGGGGACUUGCUUUUUUUUGUUUUGUUUGCUUGUUUUCUUUGUUUGUUUAAUUAUCAAUGGUUCUUACCUAUUUAUUUUCACUGAGAUUAAAAAAAGUAUGAUGAAAGCAUCAUUUCGGUAUUGCACUGUGCCUUCUGAAUUCCUGACACAGACUCCUGAAUUCCUUAAAAGUGUUUAUGGAUUGAGCACAGAUUUAGUGAGAAGUAUCAACUUGUCCUUUUUGGCAGUGAUUUUUUUGUUAGAAAAUAGGAUUAAAUAUAUUUAUUUUAUUUUAAUGCUUUACGUAUGGUCUGAUUCCUUCCUUUUACCAAAUGUCUUGUUUCUUGCCGAUUUUAAAGCUAGUGCAGCAACUAUUCGUUUGAGUACUGCGUAGAAUCUAGCUUUUUUAAUAAGUGCUUCAAGAUGUCUCAUUGCACGAUCAACACAUUUCUUGACCUGGUCUUACUAAAUUUAGCUACAUAAACAUUUUCUCCUUCUCACUUAUUUAAAUGUAUAGCAUAGAAUUUUCUCUCUUGCUUAAAGGUCAUGGAAUAGAAACUUUCUGUGCCAUAUUUAAAAAGUAAGACUGCUUCGUUGACAUGAAUCCUGCUCCCCCACCCCCAUCCAUCACCUUUUCCUCUUUUUUUUUAGAGUUACACUCUUGCUCUUUGAGUCUCAUCACUCAGAUUUGAAGGAGUCUUAAUUUAGGCCAGCCAGGAACUUGGCCCUUGAUUCCCUAUACCUGAACAUUUCAAAACUGUAUUGCGUUUCUUGAGUUGCAGUGAUAUUGUCAAGAAAAUAUCUUAGUAAACUGAAGGAGCUUGUGAUUCUCCAGGAUGAGCCAUUGAGUCUAAGAUUAUAAAUGUAGUUCCCCUGUCCACACACACACAAACCACACCUAGGAGGUGAUCAUUUAAACAUGGUAUAUCUGCACCUGAAUCUCCUUUAUUCUGGUUGCCUGUCCUGCACAUGUUCAUCUAAGUUUGCCAAAUAUUCUACCUAGUUAUUUUCUAAGAUGUUUCUCCAGCAGAACUAAAGAAACUAUCAACAUAUGCUAAAGUAGCACCAGGUCUCUUCUCUGAAUAAUGCAAAAUCUUCCCUUUUUUGUAUGAAAUAGAGCUUUUGACGUGUUUGCAUUCAGGUGCGUCUCAGAGCACUAAAAGAUUAGGAUUGUUUGAACAAUGAGGCCUAGAAUUGCUUCAACAUGCUGUCUUUUGGCCAUACUCUUCCUUCCCUCCCAGUGGAAUCACGAGGGUGUGAAUGGGGCAGAACCUGCCUCAUCGGGCUCUUUGGUGCAGCUGUCGCUGGCUUCAGUGUCGUUUCAAUUGUUUCAUUGCUCAUAACUGCCUUCAGUACUUCCACUGACUUUGUUAGUUCAUCUCCUCUCAGCUUUUCGAGAGAUGUUUUUAGGGUGAGGGUUGUUUUUUAUCACCUCCUCUUCCUCUCUUCCUACCUUCCAUAUGCCCUAAUGUGCUUUGGUGCUGAAGUUUUGUCAUCCACAUCUUGAUCAAAAUGAGAAGCCAAUUCCGUCUAUUUUCACUCUCUGCUGUCUGCAGUCCAGGUGUAUGACGCCUGCUAAAGUCUACAGUGGCAUCCAAAUGGUUGAGAUUCCAGCUACGUUUGUUUCUUUAUUGACGUAUUUAAAUUAAACAAAAUUUUCAUUAAUGACUAAAUACAAAAUUAUUUGAAAUUCUUUUAUAGCAAAAUAUGGACAAAUUCAAAGCUGACAAAGGAAAGGCAGGCAUGGCCCACAAUCUUUUUAAUGAAUGCUAUGUGAAUCCUGGAUGUUGUGUUAUAGCGCACUAUUUUGUUUGGAAGCUGUAUUUUUCCAGUGGAUAAAAGAUCAUUUGCUAUUAUAUCCUUUUUCAUUUUGUGACCUAUUGCUUGAGAAACAUUAACUUCAGAUAACACCUUAAAGAAAGAUGAAGAAGAUAAUCAAAAAAAGAUAAUCAAAAUUCAUUGUUCCGUGUUUAGGAAAAUGUCUUUCUUCAAAAGAAAGAUCCCUUUAAAGUAUCUUAAAAAGUAUCUUAAAUGAGUAGUAUUUCAGUGGUACUAUGAGUUUGUAAGACUGUUUCACAAGGUAGUGGCCAUAUCUUGAUCUUCUAAUGAUGCUGGUUGAAAAUUGUUCCUCGUAACACCUUUUCUGUCUUCUCUUCAAUAAGAGAUUUUCUUGGUAAGUUUGAUUUAGGAGGUACUUUCAGUGCUUUUAUCACAUUUAGUUACUUGUCUUGGAGGUAGAGGAUUUUUCUUUUUUUUCUUUUCCCAAGGCAAAUGCCUUUUUUAUUUAUUGCAGAAGAUAUUAGAGUUUUGGAAGACUGACAGAAGUUACACCUUGUGGUAUGAAGCAUCUAUUUCAGAAUGAAUGAGGACAAUUUAGUUCUGAUUGAGGAAAUACAAUUCUUUUUAAUGCGGUGGAUUAAUUUUACAAAACAUUUAUAAAAACAGCAGUUUAAAAAAUUAAUGACUAGACAUUCCUUAUAGAAUUUGGAUCUAAACUAAAAUAAAUAAUAUUUGUAGGAACUUGGAUUCAAUAAUUUUACUCUUCUAUAAAAGUAAAAAGGUAAAUGCUGAGUAAAUUCUGAAAGGCAUCAAAUGGAUGCGUCAAAGUUUUGCAUCUAAUCUGACUGAAAUAACGGAGGCUAUUUUCCAUUACUAGAGCUUUGAAUACUUCCCUAGUUUCUGUAUUGCUAUGUACUUAUGACUUUUCAUAAAUAUUGUCAUUAUAUAAUGGUGCAUAGGUCUACUGUUAGAAUAUUUUCAAAAUGUGACAUGAGAUCAGUGCAGAAAAUAUUUAAAUGGAGCUUUACAUUUUCUUUCCAUUUAAAGAUACACAGGAGUAGUACAAAUCUGUUUUUUGAAAACCCAUCUCAGUCCGACUAAAGUAUAACCAAUCUAGUCUAUGACAAUCUCAGUUCCUGCAUUGAGUAUCCCUGGAAUGGAAAUGCAGAACAGAAUCAUUUAUACCAAAACUCCAAACAGGUCUUUGCAUAUCAAUUAUGUUUCUAUUACAGCAGAUACUGCCGUAUGGCUUUAGGUGAUGUGUAUGUCAUAAUUCUAGGUUUGCUUAAAUAUUGAGUCUUCUGCAGAUAUAAAAUCCUUUCCACCUAUACUCUGUCCAUUACUCUGAAUUCAUUAAAUCAUAGUGAAUAAUAGCAGAUUAUAGUUCUUAUGGCUACUAAAUCAGAUUUUUUUAAGUUCACAGCCAUUAGGAAAAUGUCCUGCUCUGUCCUGUUCCUUUAUUACAUUGUAGAAGGAAAUGUUUUUGCAGAAGUACAAUACCAUGUUCAAUUCUUAAAUGCAGAGCUCUCUCGCCAAAAAAAAAAAAUGUUUAAGACCUUUUAUACUGUGUAAUGCUAACUGUCCAUUCUACUUUUCUGCAAUGUAUUUAUUUUAUUACAAGGAAGCAGUCACUGCAUGAUUAGCAGGUAUAAAUAAGUGAUGAAAAAUCUGAGAUAGUAGGUAGGUUGAAAUAUAAGUAGCUUUACAUAGACAAGUAAACAUAUUUAGAUGUUAUUAAACUACAUAUAAGCAAUGCUUUGUAUGUUUUCACUAACAAUUUUAAUUGCAAAAGAAAUUCAAAUUAUGUGAACUGCACUUGCCCAGUAUGUAGUCUUAAUAUCCUCUCUACCAUCUAUCCCAAUAAGUAUAAUAAUUUUAACUGGCUUUCUCAGCAUUUUCUUUCCCGUCUCUGAAAACUAAGAAAAUAGGCUGACUAUAAAUUUAUUAGACACUGGCACUCUAAAAUCAGGAGAAGCAUCUUCCAGAUAAAAAGAAAAAACAACAGAAGUCACUUUUUCUGUAUGAACAUCCAGAUGGAAAUUAAGCUGGCAUGUUUUCAUGCUAGAGUAUCAAAAAGAGAUGUGGUUGUUUUUAGUGAAAGGUAGUUUAACUUUUCUAUUUUCUCUUUUUAGUUUCUUUAACCGAGCGUUGUCAUCUUUGCUUCAUCCAAGUUUAGCAGUUCAUUUCCUACUCAAGUUUUCAUCUAAGGCUAAAAACUGGAAAUGCAAGGGAUGAUCAUAUGUGUGCCAGAAACUGUAGUUAGGUCAUUAUUUCUUAGCUAAUUCAGAUGGAAGAAAUUUCUGUAUAUAUGUAGGUACAUGUAUUUUUAAUCCAUAAUUGUAAAAUAGUGAUAUAUAGUCUUCACCCUUAGUAAGUGAAAAUCUGCAUGGGUAUUACAGGCAUUGUUUUAUUAUCAAAUCUAAAAUCUCAACCCUGACCUGAGAUGCUGCUAGUAAGCAUCACUACAUCUCUCUGUGAAUUUUACUGUAUACUUGAUCAUUCCGUAAUAACCAAAAAGUGUGGGUGGAUUUUGGUUCAUAUAAAAUCCAUAUUAAUAUGUAGUGUCUAGAGUCACAUGUAAGUACCAGUAAAAGAUGGCAUUAAGUAAAUUAAUCUGGUUAAAUGAUGUGAAAAGUCUGUUCUGGUUAAACUGUCAUUCCAGCAGCUGGCAAAGCCUGUUACGCUAAUAAUUGGAAAUUAUCAAUGCAGGAACUAUUGGAAAUAAUCAACUGCUUUUAGGAAUAUUAUUGAUGACCAAAAUGCCAUUUGCUAUUUUUAUUACCUUUUAUUGUAUUUAGAUUGUAAUUUAACUACCCUCUAAUUAGUUUUGACUUAGCUCAAUUGGAAGUAGUAAAACCUACUUAUCUAAUAAGUGACACAUGUCAUAAAGAAACAUACAACCUCCUUAUUUCCCCUAGGUCAGUCAUCCAUGAACUAAUUAACUGAAUUUUUGUUUCCCCGCUUUUUUGAAGAAAAGCAAUACAAUUGAAUUUGUCCUUUUCCCCCUCCCCAAAGCAAAACACAGAAACAAGCACUUUUUUUUCCCUUUAGCUGCAUUCUUAACUGUUAAAAUGUCCUGAAGCACUCGAUCACGUUGCAUUUUAAUUUCCAAGCCAUGUGUUGGAUUAGUGAAGUGCACAUGUUACUGAUUUGAGCUGAAAGUUCUCAGUCUGUUCAGCAGAACACCAGGCUGCCACAAACAAGGUCCUUGCUAGGUCAAAGGCCUGAAGUUGACAUCUUUCUUAAAUCUUACUUUUGUGAAAACUAGAAGCACAGGUCAGGGCAGCAAGCUGAUGGCAUUGCCUCUUACAACCGCUGAUUAGAUUAGCUCAACAUUUAUCAGCUACACAGAGACUAACACUUAACCUUUUAACUCAAGAGUUUUGAUGUAUCCUUAUUUUUUAAUGAGGAUGUUAUUGUCCCAAAGUGUUCCUUAAAGCUUUAGUGCAGUUUUUUUCGCCCAUUUAGCUGACUAACAGCCUUUAAAUGCUUUGUAAUUCAAAGUGCAGCGUUUAUAAUUGAGCUUUGUUGUGAGGGCAGAGAUUGAGUGAUUUUGCUCUAGAACAAUUUAUUAUUAUUUUUUUAUUAUUUAUCAACAGAUAUUACUUGUUCAGUUCUAAGAUUUUACUUGUAUCUAUUCCGCUAACCUAAAUUUCAAGGUGUAAUUUAUAGCUAGUUUGAGUGCUAGCUACUUUUUAGCCUAAAUCAUUAACUUAGAAAUAUUUACAAUUGGAGUUUUCCUUAGAAAAGAUGUGGUAACUUACUGCUUUGGAUUUACCUAAUUAUCUGUAACUAAUUCUAAGUAUGGACCCUAAUCACCUGAGUUUUGAAAGCUAAUUCACAUCUGUACAGGGAGCAAAGUUGCCCAUGAUUCCACAUCUAGCAGGCUGGAUUCAAAGUUUUUCUUCUCUGUUGGAAUUCGGGGCCCAUAAGGGAUGUAUUUUGUCAGUUACAAGAGUGGGCAUUACAAAAGACUGCAAAAAAUACCGUCACCAGAUACCUAAAAUAAUCCUGAAUUUACAGAUUGAUGCGAAAAGUUGCAGCUCUUGCUGUGAGAAACCAGCAGGCAGGUGACAAAACACCAGGACAGUGGCAGAUGCAGGACUGAAUGAUUUCUACUUGGGCAAUGCUGAGAUCUCAGUGCCAGACCGAAGUGAAGCCGCAGGUACCUGGGGGCCAUGGUCACUGCAGAGCUGAGUUGGGACCCCAAGUCCCAGGAGUGGCUGGAACAGAUUGCAGCAGUGAACCGUCACCUAGCACUGGGGUAUCAACAGCCUAAAUAUAAAGAAAACUGAAAUAAUGUUGUGAGUAUUCCCUAGUAUAAUAACUACAAAUAGUAAAAUAUCAACUCAAGGACAUAAGAGGAAUAGGUCAGAAAUAAAAAAGUUUUCCAAGCUGUUUUUACUAGGGAACGUUUCAGUUAAGUUAGUAGCAUUAACUAACUUUUGUCCACUACGGUUUAGCUGUGUAAAUCCUAACUGCCAGUUAUUGUACCAUGAGCAACUGAGGACACAGCACCUAUUACUGCCCUUUGACUCCGGGCAUGUUACUUUUUAUUGCAAAGGUCGGUUGGAUGUAGAUUUCCUUGGGACUCUAGCAUCAAGAGUCCUAGUUGGGUACGAGGGAUUUGAUUAGCACACUAGUGUGUGUGACCACAUUUAUAUAUCACCUACUGAAAAUGCACUGUCAGCAAUAAAGAGGACCACCAGUGGGCUAGAAUAAUAUCACUUGUUCUCCUACUUAAAAAUAAACGAAAGGUUGGUUUGGAAGGUAGCUCUUCUUUUUCAUUGCUAGCAGCAUUCUUAUCUCCUUCCUAUGUGUGUGAAAGUGACUUAGAAAGUGUAUUGUAUGAUUUCUGUUUUUAAAUCCGAGUUGGUAAAGAGGAUAGAGAACACUAAUGUUUCCUGGAAAGAAGAAAAAAGGAGUGGUAGGAGAAAUUCCUGUUUAUCUGCUUCUGAUUUCUUGAAAUCGGUUUUGAGAAGCAGCAGUAUUUUCAGUCUGGUUUUCACCUGCCAUUAGCCUGUUAGUUCAGCUCCAUGCCCAAACUACAGUCUGGGUGUUCCAUAGCAGACUACCAUAUCCAUACCUGUGUAAGCAAAACAUUCUUGUUAUGGUCCCACUAGUAAAAACUAUGAUCUUGGAGUCAGAUUCCAGCAUCUGGGGGUGGAAGGGAGAGCCUGACAGCCAUAACUGAACAGAUCAAGGCACAGCUUCAUACCAAACAUAAAAGUUUCAUUAAUCUGGAAGAGAAACAGCAGAAUAGGGACUUGCAUUUUUUAUUACUGAGUCUCAUGUUAUCUAGUCAUACGUCAACAAUUUAUUUUCCUGCUUAAAUUAACCCUUUGAUAUACCCAGAUGACUUCAAAAAAGGAGCCCUAUUUUGAAUCAAUUGUGUUAUUCAAAGCAAACGUUGUUUCCUAAAAGCAUUGUUUCCUAAAGUAUAAUUGUAGACUCUUUAGAAAAUGUAUAGACUUAGCACUUACUUCAGUCUCACUUUAGACUACAAAGUCAAUUUGAAUAUCAUUUGUUAUAUUUGAAAGUGAUUAUUUUAUUGUUAGCAAGCAAAAUGUGAAACAGACAACACGUUUAGCUUUAGUCAAAUUGCAGUUAGAGGAAAUGAAUCUCCUGCUGUCUAAAUAAGUUGAAGUAGUUUGAAACUGCCCAGAUCCUGGAAAUUAAUAAUCUUGUUCUAUGAAAAAACAGCUUGAUAUGAUGAAAUCUGGGUGUAAAGCCAUGGAUGUGUUCUGUAGCUAACAUAAAUGGCAGAGCUUCAUUGCUGUGCCUGGAGCUGUCUGGUUGAGUUGCAAACCACAGUGUAAUGGCAAAAAAAAUUACAAUAUUAAUUGCGUUCUAUAAGCUAACAUUAUUUUAUCACAUAGUAAGAAAACAAGGCAAAUUAACAGUGUUUUAUUGUAUUACGCUCAUUCAGAAAAAAAAAGUCUGUAUGAAUUUAUUGAUACAUUAAAGGAACUCUUGCCUGCUUCUCAGCACUUCCCUUUGAUAACAGUUAAUUUUGAAAAAUGUUUAUAGAUGGUAGGUUGUUGUCAGAUUUAUAUUCUAUUCUUUUCUGUUACUUCCUCUUCAGAGAAGCCACAAAAACUAUAACAAUAAAUACAGUAUUUUACUGCUCCAUAGUAUGUCAACAUUAUUUUUAAGGUUGUAUUCAGUUUGUAGGGACACCAACAUUUUUGCAUCUACAGUAGGCAGGACAGUGUGUAUAUGCUUAAUUCCAGGUGAAUAUGUUAGAUGGUUGUACAACGUGUAUGUGCUAAAAGGUGUAUGAGUUUGGGUGUCUUUAUCUUACUUCAGUAUUUGUGGAUAACCAGCAUGAUAAGGUUUGAACUUUCAGAGAUACUGAGGUUGGGGAUAUGUCAUAUUUCAACAAUUUAGAUUGUCAGCUAUCUAUCCUACCAAACCAGGUGAGUAUAUGUACUGAACCUCAAGCCAGACUUCUCUUAGCGUGAACUUCUACUGACUUCUGUUUAAAUGUAUGUGAUUUAGUGAUAAUGAACGGUCUUAUACUUUCCUUCUUAAAACAACUAAAGUAUUAUCCUCCAAAUUAAGCACUUUAGGUGCUCGGUCACUUCUAGUAGAGGAAAAAAAAAAAGGGCAGUCUGCAGUACAUCAUGUCUGUUUUGUGCUUAUAUAUCCAAGAGUAAGUGGGCUAAAUAUGAGCAAAUACAUUUUUUUUCUCUGGGUAUAUCAGAGGUUAAACGGCUAGGAGAAAGCUCUUUAAGCUUAAAGAUAGUAACAACACACAAGAAAUGUUUCUACCUGUUGAUAAAAUCAGACUAACAGAUUAAGUGUUUUGGACAGGAGAGUAAUAAAGUUCCAAAAUGUUUUUCAAACUGAUUAGUGAAAGCAAAAAAACUAUUUUGCAAUGAACUUCAGUCAGUGUAUGAAAAGAGUGGUUGGGUUUUUUUGCCAAGCUAUAAAUGUAUUACAAAAACUACCUGUUUUUACAGUGAUUUCCAUGUUUUUUUAUUCUUAAAAAUCUUUCAGAAAUCAUGCAACUUUAUCUUUACUCAGCUCAAUGUCUUGCUAAAUUUAAUUUUACUGUAAUAAACGUUGUGUUACAAUAUUAAUGUUGAUUUUGCACAUGCAGAAUCAACUCCCACACUGAAAAUAAGUUUUACAAUUUGUUUGGUUUACAAAACAAAUCAAAAUAAAAAAUACCUCAAAACAAAUAUUUUACAUUCCUUUUAUGCAUUGUAUUGAAGUCCUGAUAAAACUUCUUCUAAAAAGAAAGCAUUUGCCUUCGUGGAAUUGAGGUAACUCCUGUGAAGCUACAGUUGAAACCAGUCACAUUUGCUCUGAGACGGGCAAAUUCUUCUAGUUUGUCCUAUACUUUUCCGUAAUCAAUUAAUGAAUUUAUACUUAAUGUUGACGGGGGGUGGGGGGCAGGGGGGAGUUGGGUGUAGGAUUGGGGAAAACAAACCUUAUUUUAUUUAUCGCAGAUUGUCCGAAAGGCAAAAUUUGUGGAUUAAAAACCAGGGAUAGUGCACAGUUGUAAAGUUAUUCGUGUCUCACAACAUUUGCCUUGGCAUGAGGAAAAACAAAAUUUAGCCAAGAUUAAUUUAGUUUAGGGCAUCCCAUCAUUAGCAUACUCUCACCUAUAGAUACAUAUGUGUUCACGUAUAUGUAAACAUAUAUAUAUAUAUAUAAAACUAUUCCCCUUUUCUAUGCUACUAUAGCAAAAUAGGUUAGCUCCAUAUCUGAGCUUAUUUCCCAGGAAUCUUUUCACAUAUAGUUUAUAAACAACUUUAAGUUAAAAGAUAAGACAGUGAAGUGCAAAAUAAAUAUUGAGUUAAAGUUGUCUGACUGAAAAUGUUUCCUUGGUCACUAAGCUUACCUCCCGUUUUAGGGUGGGGUUUUUUGUUUUUGUUUUUUUUCAUUUGCCUAUUUUCCACGUUUUGGCUUUGGGUUGUUUUAAUAUAUAGAUCAGCCUUGCAUUUCUGGUGGUCUAUUCUGGUGGACUUAUUUUUUUGGUGUCUUUUAACAUUUCCUGUUGGCUGAGCCAUUAAAGCUGAGCCGUUAAAGCAGCCCUCUCAGAAGAUAUGUGCAUGCCUGAGUGUAUUAACAAAGAUAAGCAAGUACUAAAAACCUGAAAAGCUUCAUCAGACUGCAGUGGAGAUAAAUUCAUUUAUGCCAAAACAUUCCCUUUGGUUAUUAGAUAUUAAAAUGACCUGUUUCUUUGAUUUCUGAUAAUAUUCUUCUUUAUUUAAAACUAAUCAUUGUCACUCCAGAAAAUUUGUUUAGGAAUUUUUGUUGACUGCUGAGGGUGGUUUUGGACAGAGAACAAAGUUUUCGUAAGUUUCAACAUUUCUGCUGCAAAAGUCAAAGAGAAAUGUCUCCUUCGGUUCAGCUGAGAAUAUAUCAGUUACUUAGGUGAACUCAAAAUGUUUUAUUUCAUGUAACUUUUACUAAAGCAACAACUGCAGUCCUGUAGUGCGCUGUAUUUAAUGUGGAUGGCUGUUGUGUCUCUGCAGGAUCGUAUCUUUCCUACAACAUUUUUUAAUAGUACAUUGUUAGAGUUGAGGGAGUCUAGCCGCGUCCCAACAUGUUAAAAGAAAGGGGGACGGGGUGAACAGGAAAUGCCAUUUAAUGCUGAAAUAUGUUUCAGCAAAUUAAAAUGAAAAAUUUCUUCUUCAAAAAUUUCAAGUGUUUCAUUUUGAUCAAAAAAUGGCUAAAUUUUAAUGUUGCUAAAUCAAAACAUAGUAGAGUUCCUUUGUUGUGACCUCUGCAUUAAAACUCUUCAUUUUUAGUCUGAUGUCAAACUGAAUGUUAAGGGUUGAGUUUCCCGAUUUUGCUGAGCGAAAGGAAGCAGUGGUACAGCUGAAGCCUAUUCCAGUUCCCACCCAUCAGCAUUUUGCACUGCUUCUCUGGUGCCCGUACAGCUGGGAAUCACAACCAGAAAAGUGACUUCCCGGGACAAAGUUGAAUUCUGAGGGAGUUCCAGUUACAGCAGGGUUUUAUUAGAAGAAAUGCCUACUAGAGAUCCACCUGAGAUCACCAAGUCUCUGAUAACAGUAGCUCUGAAGGGACAUCUAAUGUCCAUCCCUGACUUCUAGUAAGAAAGAGGAAUAUUCCUUAGAUGUGAUUAGCGACUGGUAAUAGCUGCUUUUUUUUUUUUUUUUCACUUUGAAAGCAGUUUUGUUCUCGCUUUUAUUGAAUUUAUGGGAGUGCAGUACAAAGCAGCAUUCAUUACCUACUGUUAAAUCUAGUACUGACAAGUUAUGCAUCGCAAAUAUAAUUCAUUAUCAACUAUUAUUUAGUAAUUCUAUAUUGUUUUGUUUGCAUCUCAUCCUGUUUCUUGUAUUGAUGUCAAAUUGUGAUACAAAAGACAAAUGGAGUUGCUGAUCAAUGACUAAGAUAAAUGCUGAUAUAAUCAAAAUGGCAUAAGAACAGACGAUCCAUUAAGUAGGGAUCACAAUGUAUGCCAAAAAUUAAAAUACACAACUGUGAGAUGCUUUAGUAUCGUGAGAGAUUUCAGUGCAUCUUUUUACCUUCCAUUCUUGUAAGGGAGUCAUGAAUGAGAUGGAGCACUUCAAAACAGGGGUAAAAAUCAGUAGUAUUGAUAGUAAACAAGAGUAUUUAUCAAGAAAAUAAUAAUUUUUUGUUUAUUAAUAUUUUUUUCUUAAUGUUGAACUAUUGCAAAAAUUUCCUUGUCAUCAUGCUGGCCACCUUGCUUUUUCAUAUUGCAUCCUGUGAACUGUCAGUUGACUUAUCUUUACAUUAAUGGGCAGAGCAUUAUUUAUGAGAUGCGUUUUCUUCAAUUGUAUUUGGAAGGUCCCUAUCAUACAGUCCAAUGGCUGCAACUCUUGACUGAAUGGUCAGUAUUUCUUUAUUUGUGUUUUAGUGAGGUAAUCAAAACCAUUUUGUCCCCUACAGGUUUUGAAAAAAAGACCACAUGUAUAAACAGUUUUAUGUAAUAUAUGUGUGUGUACGCACAGCAUUCUUAAGGUUAGGCAGUCUUUUUUGAAGAUACUGUCUGUUGUCAUGGCUUUAUAUUAAACCUACAAAGACAGGGAAUUCAGAAUUAUUGGCCUGUACUUAAUACAGUCAGUGAAUUAUUAUAUCUAGGCACAAAGUGGUAAGUAAAGAUUUUUAGUCUGAUCUCUGAAUUUCCUUGUAGCUGUGGGUUUGUCAGACCUUUAACAAUACACUAAAGUAGGGGGCUAGGGGCUGUGGUUUAAUAUGGACUAAUGCACAUGGCAGAGCUUUUACAUUAGUGCUAUUUCUUUCAAUGCAUUAUAGUGAAAUUGUAUUUUAAAACCAGGCAAACUAUUGAUGCUUUUAUUGAAUGGAAUAAUUUAUUAUAGGAAUAUUUUAGUCUGUUGACAUUUCAUCAUCAAAUAACAGUAAACAUAAUACACAUUUCCCAUAAGACUGCUCUCGAGAGCCAAAUAUUUGCUGUUCACUUAUUGUAAAAGUAGCAUUGUCAUAAUUAGUCUUUGGGCAAGACAAAAAAUAAAUGUUUAACAAUGAUCUUUUUAACAUAGAGAGAUAAGUCAGAAAUAUUCCAAAACAAGUUUGCUCACUACUUCCAAUUAAUGUUUUAAAAACUGGCAGUUACUUUUACAAUUCAUUGAUUUUCUCUUUAGUCAUUGAAAAAAGCUAAUCAAGCUAAAAUAUUUAUUGUAAAUUAAGAGCUUCAUAUUUAAACUCACCUAUCUGAUAAUACACUAAAAUUGUUGCAUUUGUUUCUCUUCUUUUAUGGAAAAAUCCUAAGCAUAUAUAAUAUUUCACUUAGUCCCUUAUAAGGUGGCUGCUUGCUCCUCAUGUAACUUCUCUGAGACCAUUUAUAUGUCUGAAAUGGGGAGAACAGUUAGGUGUCAUCAUUUAGUAUGCCCUUAUUUGUCAUCAGCCUUCAUUGCAAAUUUGUUGGCAAGUGCUAGUUAAUGCUGAAUGAGGACUGUGGUUUAACAGUCUGCUUUUCUGACGUCAUGCUUUUUGGAUUUUUAUUUUAAUUGUUGUCUAGAUAUUUCACACUACUGCUUUAUGUAUGUUUUUUCAUUUUCGUCUUCACAAAGACUAAAUCUACCUUAACAGUAUAUUCUGUAAACCUUUUUGCAUCUCUCAUGCCUCUUAUUUUUUGUUUAAGUAUGCCAGAAACGUGUUAUAUGAGAAAGAUUCUUGGUAGGAGCAGUCUAUGGAAGUAGAGGUAGCUCUUUCUUCACACUUUGAAUCUAAUUUCUGACACUUUAUGGUUCAUCCUUACAGUAAAUACUUUUGUUCUAUAAGUGACUGGACAGGGAAGACAAAGGCACUGAGUGUACACUCUUUUUUUUCUGGAAUAACCACCCUCUUUUUUACUCAUUCAGUUGGUAGGUGACCGUAAAGAAUAUUGCCUAUGUGUGUGUCUCUGUAAUUCAGUUUUAGACAUGCUGAAGCAUAAAUUCACUAGGUAUACAAACACAAAGUUAAGAACUGUAAUAAAGUGUGUGCAUAAAAUGGUGGUUUUGCUGUCACAUUUGAUUCAGUUGCUAUUGCUUUGUUCAGUUUUACUGACAAGUUAAGCUCAUUUGUAAGCAAAAAUGUUCAGCCCUAUUCAGCCAUUCUUACUGCGGGCAAGUUUGCUGGAGGUGGCAGGCCUUGCAUUAUACUCCAUUAGUAGGCAGCCCACCUGUCACACUUAUCGCUGCCAGAAAGUUGUUUUACAGGUAAAUAUUCUCCACUGAGAAUUUUAUGCCUUCAGUUACUGUUACGUUUGUUCUGUGCUUUACGAACUGCAGUAUCCACUUGGAGUUCAAUUCUCCAGGUGGUCCCAGGAACCUUUUAUGAGCUAUGUACAUUACAACCAGAACCUUAGGAGGAAUCCAGAAACUAGAAGAGUUUUCUUGUCUUUAUGUAUUUAUCUUCCAAGCCUAGAGAAACUUCGCAACUUGUAGAUUUUACCUUUGAUAAAAAUCAGUCAGUCCAUUAUUAUUUAUGAAAAUUAAAUUAUUAAGCUAUGACUGCGUGAAAAUAAACAAUGGUUAAUAUUCAUAUUGCUCAUUUGAAAAGAAGAUUCUUUUUAAUCCUGCCUUCUUUAAAACUCUUUGUCUUUACAGAUUCUGAAUAACUUUCUGUUAUUUUAUAAAUAUAUAUUGUCUUAUACAGACAUUUGUCUUUGUUCCUCAGGUUGGGAAAAAGCAUUUUAGUCUGUAUUUAAUUUUGUUAGUAGUGGUGGUAUUUCAAAUUGCUUGAGAGCAUGUUUUAUGUUAUUAGUUCCAUGUACUGCAUUUAAAAAUGUGUAAGAUUUUGCCACCAUGUCUAGUACCCAGCUAUCAUAAACACCAUGUCUUAUAACCUUUUGUUAAACUUACCGAGUGAGAUUUUAAAAUAAUUUGAAGUGAUUUGGUCUCACUGCCCUCACUGAAAGUUUUUUCUAGACCCAGAGCACUGGUCUCCCUGAUGUAGGGGACAAUUACUUGUCUUUUCAGCCUCUGCUCUCCUGAGCUGGAAAGGCCGAACUCAUCUGGUCUUUCCUAUGAGGAGCUGCUCAUAGCUGCGGUAGCUUUGCUCCCUUUGCUCCGUACCUGGCUAUUACGUGUCUGUCUUGAAUGACCUGUCUAGAGCUUCCAGAUAAGGGCAAAACAAGUCUUUAAGGAUAGGCAAGAUUUCUAGAUUUUUACUGAAAAUCUUUCUCCCAGCCCUUCAUAGGAUUAUUUUCCCCUUUCCUUAGCUGCAUCACUUUGUGAACGUGUAGCACUCAACUGUAUUACAGAUUGAUUCCUUCUUCCUCUGGGAAAGCGGAGGGGAAUAUAAUUUCUGUAUUACAGGUUGUAUAUCUAUGUGUAAGUUUGAAAAGAACUGUAUCUAUAUUUUGGGCAUGUUAAAGUAAAAUUGCAGAUUGUGCGCGAAAGUCAGAAUAGUUAUCGGCAGUAAAAAAGUGGAUAACUUGAACACUGUCUAAAAUGUUUGGUUUGGUUUCUGGGUCUUUGCAACAAAUGUUCUAAGAUUGAUCAUGGCUGCCAGACAGUGCUAUCAACAAGGCAAAAGUUUUUCUUUACUGUCACCACAUCUGCUCUUUUAUUAGAUUUUGUUUAUUAUGUAUUUACACAGUAGUGAUCCAAAUAUAGCAUCUGGUUUGGGUUUGUUUUGUUUUCUAAGAAGUGAAAUACAGUUUGGGUUCCUCUAACGUAAAUAUUAGACAAUGUCCCAACUCCUGCAGUAUAUAAGCAAGGUACUGUGCAAAUGCACAAUUGUCCUUAAAUGCCCAUGGAAAAAGAUUACAAAUCUAUCAGGUUUUAUCCAUCGUUUUUCAUAGUCACAGGACAGACUUUUGUGCAAAGUAAACCAGUGUAAAAACCAAUCAACUUAUUUUACCCUCAGUAAUAACAUGUUGCUGCCUGUAUUACCUCACAGCAUGUCACAAGACGUUGUUAUGUGCUACUCAGUUAUAUUUCAUUUAUUCCAGAAACUCAUCAAGUCACUUCAGUAUAAGACUUUUUAAAAAAUUAAAAAUCACUCAGUACCACAAAGCUCUUUAAAGCCAGAUUUCCAUAAAUUUGCACAAUGCUAAAUAUUGGCAGUGUUAAGCAAAUGAGAGCAAGUAAGUACAUUAAAGUGGAAACAUUACUUAAGCAAAUAGAAGCUAUUCUAUACUGUUCUGUACCAUUUUUAUCAAAAAUUAUAGAAAUUAUAUGUGGCCUGACUUGAUUUUUUUUAGUUAAAGAACUGUUCAAAAGUGCCUGUAGGCAAUCAAGAAAUUCUAACUUAAUUUUUAAGUCUUACUUUUGCUGGUUCAGCUGGAAUUGUAGCUCUCUUAAUCUCCUGAAUUUACCGUUUUUCUGCUGUUGCCAUAGUGAAAUCAGGUAGAGCAGGCAAAGCUGCACUCUUUCUUCUCUUUGAACUUAACUGAAAAUAAUGCUUAAUCUGUUGGUAUGGCUUUAGAAAUAGCUUUUAAAAAUGUUAAUGUGGAUUUAGCAGUUGUGGAGAGGGAGAGAUAUACCAGUCUCUGAGUGGAAGUCCCAUUUACCCUCAGUAGAUAUAUAAUACCUGUAUGAGCAGCGCAAGGUUUCCUUUACCAGUUCAUCCUAGCGCUUUAGGCCUAGGAGGCUUGAGGAAGAUAAUGUCUGUGCCUGCACCCAUUCAUACAUCGUGCUGCCACGUACUUCCGAGGAGAGGAGGAGUAUGGGACAGCUGGGUUUUUUGACUGGGUAACUAGUUUUUAUAACCAGGACAGAACAUCCCACAUUAUUUCAAGUGAUAAUCAGUCAGUCUGGAUCUCAGUAGCCUGAAGGGAAUAAUUGUGCAAUUAGAGGAAUUCCGCGCGGCAAAAUGGUGCUGCAAAGCUCCAAAUCCCACUGUCGAUUCAUCUCAUUCCUCAGAAAGAUGGGGUCACACUUGCUGAGUGUAUUGAUAUUGGCAGACAGUAAUAUGUAAUGUCUAGCUAAGGUGUAUGAGUCUAUUGUGCAGAGGCCUACCUGUAAGUCAAUUCAGUUAUUUAAAACUACAUGUAAAAGUUAUCUUGAGUGUAGAAAUACUAAUACUAAUACUAAUUUGUAAAAAACAUGAUGCCUCAAAGGUGCAAUGAGAGAUUUUCAAAUUUUUAGCAAAAGUCAGGGGUUGGUAUGGAGAGAUCCUAGAAGCAAAAGGAAACCAUUCAAAUUGCCUGAAUGUUCACUGACUCUUUAAUUUAAUGAGUUGUGGUUGUUCUCCCUUCUCAUUUUUUGACUCUACUUUUUUAUUUUGUUGUUUGGGGUUUUUUUGUGUUUUUUUUUCCUUUCGGGAAACCCCUCUCUUUGCAAGAGUGCUGUAAGCUGAAGGGACUGACAGAAAAAAUAUCUUAAGUAUGCUUUAUUGUCUAUAUUGGGCUUCCAUUACUCAGUUCAAGUUGAGGGUGUCAUUCCCAUCUUCAACAUACUCAGUGAUCGGUGCUCAGGGUGGAGCAGAUGGAAACCUUAUGUCAGCGCCUCUCCUUAAGCUGCAUUAUGGCUGUUCAUGGCAAGUGGAUUUGUGUGAAAGACAGCUUUCUUGGGAGGUUCCUGUCAGAGUACAGCAACCGUGGAAUUCAGGAACCACUUUUAACCUCUGUCCUUCAUUACGUUUUGAACGUAUGGCAUGCUUGAAAGGUAAAUAAGAAACAAAAAAACUCCUCUCAAGUUUUAGCUGACAAGGGAAAGACAGCUGCCCACGACAGAUACUAAUCUUAUCACUUAACGUACUUACUCUGAGCUUUUAGGUGAUGUGAGAACCAGAAAACAAGAAGGUAACUGCUCAGGUGGAAGUUAGCCAAGUCUCAGGUUGGUAAAACUGGUUGGCAUUUGGCUGUUUACAAUGAUCCAAGCUAUGUCCUUGCAAGCUUAAUUUAUCUUUGGAGGGAAAAGCUAUAUUUCACUAAUUUUCUUCUUGUUAUUACAUUUCUUUCUUAUUAGUUUUGCUUUUGUAAUAAAGGGAGCAGAACUGAAUAGGACUAGCAGCUCAAUAACUCAUGUUUUUUCGGUUUCAUUUAAAAAGAGACUGCUGGUGCUGUCUUUGAUGCCCUUAGAAGGCUGCCAACCAACAAUAUUCUUUUAUAAAAUACAGUGCAUAUAAGAUAAAACUAAGGCAAACAGUUAAGGCAAAAAGAUAUUUCAGUACCGGAAGUUUUAUGUUUAAUGGACAUUUUCUUCUUUUGUGUUUUCUUAAAAUGUUUAAACUAUCUAGCAAUUAUGGUUACCAGACAGCUAAAUCAGCAAAAUCUGAGAAAAAUCCUUGUAACACACAUAAUGUUAAUAUUGAAACAUUUUUCAUGGGUUUUAUUAAUAUCUUGCCCACUGAUGAUGCCAGACUCCCAUUUUUAGUACAGUAGUUUUUAUGGUGUCUUCCAAUUUAAUAGUAUAACUGUAUAUAUUACACUGACCGUUUGGAAAAACAAACAAAACAAAACACAUGAUCACUCUCAAUUUGUCUGGAACUUGUCUGACAGGAUUUUGCUAUAUUUAAUACAGAGACCUUGUGGCUAUUUGGAUAGUAACCUUCAUACCAUCUUUGGGAACAGCUGAUAUAAAUGCUGUAUAUAGAGUGACUUGACACAAGAGCAAUCUAGCAAUGGCAUGGCAAAGAUUAAUUAAAAAAAAAAAAAAAAAAAACACCACCACGGGAAUAUGGAGUCCAAUUUGUCUUCCACCAUUUUCAACAUGUUAUUAUAUGAGGGAAAAUAUUCCUACUACUGUGAUUUUGUCAUGUUGCUGACUUCUGACUCAAUUCUCAUCAGACAUGGGUUGUAAUAUGUCACUGACUACCUCGACUAAUUUGCUAUUGCUUUCAGACCUUCCUCUGAUUCUUCUCCCUCCCUCUAGACUUGGUUACAUGGCAAUAUACAUUUCUAUAUCAUCCUUUUGAACAGAAUUCUGUACCUUAAUAGUGAACCUGGAAAGGUUCCGUGCAUGGUAAGCAAAGAAAGUCGAAAUUAAAUUGUUUCUAGUGGUGAUAUAUACUAAGAAAGACCACAUAACUUGUAAAUAAAUCUAAACAGCUUUAUGAAUUUUUCAGAAGGUAUAUGCAGUGUUUGACUGAUAGAUACAAAUAAAGAAUGUGUGUGUGUAUAUAUAUAUAUAUAUAUAGUGAAGGAGACAGAAGGCAAAAAACUGUUCCUUAUGGAAAAGGAAAGCAAGUUUCUUUGCACAUCCCCAGUUUUGCACUUACUUUAUCUAAUAAUGAAUGUAACAAUUCUGCAAAUUGCCUUGAUGGUCUUCUAAAGUCUCUAGAGCAGUCUCCACCUAAAACCAUGUGAAAUGUCCUUGUAGUCUUCUGAGAGAGCGGAUAUUUUGCAAGUGAUACAGCUUGCUACUUAAGACAUAGCCCAGGAUGCACUCUUCGUCCAAAUAACAAACAAGUAAAAACUAAGUUAUUUUUCAAUAUGAAGUAGGGCAGGGCCAAAUUGGGUUGUACAGAUACUGUGUGUAUGUAUCAACUGGGAGACAAGCUGAAGAGCCUCAGGCAUCACACCCAGGUGAUAGAUUCGUAAUGAAAAGAGUGAAUGCCAGGCACAAGUACAGCUUGCCAGCAGAUUCCAAAGUCAGCAACAAUAUUCCAGGUUGGAGGAGGUGUUUGCUUUCCUUCUGGGUGGACAUCAGGUGCCACAGUAAUGGGCAACAGACGUAGUACUUUCUUUUUCAUCUGUUCCCUCCUUAAUAUGGAUAGGAGACUCGCACUUUGAGAGACAGUAAAUUUAAGUACAGCAUCACACAUAAAAUAUUUCUGCCUGUCAAUUAUGCACAAUAGUGUGUUUGGCAGUUAACUGCUAAGCAACGUUGUGUGAAGGUACUCAGUGUGAUUUACUAUCCAGUCUUGGACUAAUUCUGUGAUCUGGGAAGUUGGAAGCCCAAAUGAGCUGUCCUCCAUUUGUUAAUUCAUCUGUUACAUUGUUUGUUUUAUUGUAUAUUUGUGUAUAAGGAUUUGGAGAUACGGAAUUGUCUAAUAAUUCAUUCAAAAUGUCUUGAGGUAGCUUUAAUGCUGGUUCCAAGAUUUAUACUCUGCAAAUGCUAAACACACAGCUAUACAGUGCAUUUAUUUAUCAACAUUUUUGCUAUCUGAACGACUUUUCCUAUUAGUUUGGUUCUAUUUUACAAUAAUUAUUAAACAAAAAUCAAAUGCCAUGAGAGCAGUUCUGCUUCCUCUGUUAAAUGCACUUUUGGCAUUUCCUUUCGCUCUGGCAAGUGCUGUCACCAGAUAAACAGCUGCACAGAAAGAAAGGAUUGCUGCAAACUAUGAGGCACUCACAGAUUAUUCAGAUAUCAUCUUGCACUGGCCUUAGGAUGGCCUGUUACUUCCAGCCCUAAAAAUAAACAACUAUUAAUCAGCUAAUGGCAACAUGAGUUGACCAGCACUUAUGGCUGCCUGGACCUCAAUCUAAGCAUACUCAAAAGCUUUUCUCAUGUUUUCUAUCACCUGGGAUAAGAGGUAGUUUGCAGCCAAGCGUUCCUUUGGGAGGACUGAUGUGAAUAUAACAAAAUGUUUGAAAUAGGCUCAGUAACUUCUCUCAACACUGAUCCACAGCUUCAAAUGUGCAGAAUCCAACAAUAGCGGCUUUGCAUCAACUCUCUCUGGAGAGUGAACUAAUGGCUUAAGGUUUUCUCAGGAAAACUGAGUAACAAGCAAGGACCUCAGGAAGCACCGUUCUCUGCCUGGGUUUAAUCAGAAAGCAUCGCUUCCAGCCACAAUCUAUGGAAUAAUUCUGUAAUGCAAACAACCCCCUUUUCAAAGGAUAGCAACGCUCUUGCAUUGUCUUCACUGAUCAAUACAAGUAGCACAACUUAAAUAGAAGUAACAUAGCUUUAGUAAUCUAGUCGUCAAAGUGCACAUUGCAGGAUGGAAGGUAUUGCUGCUUUGAACAGAAACACAUCAAUGCACUUGUAGAGGUACAGUGAAACAAUAUUCUAACCUUGAAUCGUAAAAGACAAAUAUGUAAAUGCAACAGCUAAUACAGAGUAGUAGAUUAUCUCCAUCAGAAAAGAAUUUAUUACACUUCUUGGGGGGAAAAAAAGGUGUAGAAAGCUUUCUUAUAUUGUACAUUCAGAUUGAGAUUUUUUGGUCGAGCUCCUUUUGCUUAGUUAUACCCAUCAUCCAGGGUGCCUGAAGUCACUUUGCUCUGUAUUGACAUGGUUAAGUGAUUUCAAGCAAACUUGGACCUAUCUGCAAAUUACCAAGUAAGGUACCUGGAACACUGCCUAUUACCUCUUUUAGAUAGAUACUGGAACUGACUUCCCAGGCAGCUAAAAUGCAUUCAUUUCCAAAAUGCACACCCAAGUGAUAACCACUAAAACCAGAGACAACUUUGGCCAUAAUUUCCAUAAUUUGGCCAUAAUGUCUAAAAUGUUGGUGUGAGUACCGCGUUAAUUUUCAGUACCUCAGCCCAGUCCUGCAGUGCAGGCGGAAGGGGCACCUCACAGUCUCUGUUUACAACACAAAACCUUACAGUCGGAUGUGCAAAGCGUUCACCUGAUUUUGAAAAAAGAAAAGUUUUGCAUUAAGUACACACAGGCACUUUGAAAGAUGAACAUCUGGAACGCUACUAAUAAACAACAAAAUCAUAUGUUUCAAUAGAAGUUAGGACAUGAACCAACAAAAUUUGAGAAAUUCAAAGUUCACUCAAGGCUCUCAUCUUACUGACAAGCUGCCUUGAGCCAGUAUGUGUUUUCUUUCUCACUCACUGCAUCAGUCUUCACUUAGAAAGCCUUGAUCCUUGUAAAUCAGUGUAACCUUAAUGUUAUUUAAUCAUAGCUUUCAAAAGUUAAUUUCCAUGAGAACUAUAUUUUUAAAAAACCCUAACUUGUCAUUGAGGAUUAUAAAAAUCCUUUAUUUGCCUGGAGAACAGUACUCAGAUCUGAAUGAAUAAGUGUAAGUGAAUAAUGUGUUUCGACAGUUUGUGUAUUAAAGAUAUAUUAUGCAGCUAAAAGUUAUAUUGUAUUUACAAUAUUUUAAUGACAGUGACUUGCACAGAUUUUGGUGCAUCUAAUAAUAAGCGUUUAAAAAUUGUGCUAUGCAAAAUUCUAAAAUAUUUUAAACUGUCUUUUAUAUCCACAUAAAUAUCACUUGACUUGUUUCUGUUUCUCCAAAUGCCGAAAGCAAUUAAAUCAUACUAUAAGCCUGAUAAAAUGCUGGUAAUUGAUUGAUGCCUUAACAGCCUCAUUGCAGAAAUAAAAAUACAAUUAAUAUUAAAUUUAAAAAUAUAUAUAUCAUUAAGAUUUAAUUAUAUCCAAGAGACGUGAGACUAUAGAGACAGAGGCCCGAUAUUAGUUUUCAUCCACCUUUUUUUCACCUGACAACUCCAACUUCCACGUCAACUGCAUAUAUAAUAACAUCAAUAUCUGGCAUUCAUGGAAAUGCCUACCUUUCUCAGCCCCAAAGAAAUUCCCACUUUUGAGUCAAAACCUCCUUGGAAAUGGGAGUCUCACACAAUAUUAAUAGACUUUAAUUUUUUUCCUUGUCUUCACUGAAAGUAAGUUUUCCCCCAACUACUGUGGUAACAUCAAAGCUUAAAGCAGAUUAGGUUUUACUUGCUUAAUUUUACCUUAAGCAGCAUAAACUGGAUGCCUGGAUCCUUAAGACAUAAUACGCUGCUAACUUCUGUGUGUGAGGCUUGAUAUAGUGCUUACUAGUUUCCUGUUAUCUUUAAAAGUAUGUCACCAGGACUUUUUAAACUUUGCCAGCAAAUAUAUUUUUCUGUAGUUGCUAGUGGAGGAAGACAAUAUUAAGUAGCUUAAGGGCGCUGGGCCCAAAAAUAUUGUAGCCUUCUGAGUUACAGGUUCAGAAUCACAUUUUUAAAGUAAAAAAAAAUCAUUCAGUUACUUGAUUUUACUAAGUACUGGGUUUUUUUUUUUUCUUUCUUUUGACCAGAUUUGGUGAAGUCAAAUAAAUAAGGUGCUGUGUAAUGCCUGGAAGGCAUCUUUUGUUUAAAUCAGCAUGUGUGUGUGUCACUGGCUCACAAAAGUGUGUGGAGGAUUGAAAAAGUGAUGUGGAUAAUAAACCCCACAGUUAUCUUUAAAUUGCGUUCAGAGUUUUUAAAAAGCACUGUCUUUAGGCACAAGUACUCUUAUUUGAGUUUAAAAUUCUAUAUAAAUUAACAGUAGCAGAAAUACUACUGUGUUAUAAACUAUUCUGAACUAGGCUUCUAGUAGCUGUUUAAAUGGAAAAAUUUCUUGCUAAUCAAAGUCAGUUUCUGAGCAGUGGCUAUUAAAUGUUUGCCAAGAUAUAUAGCGCUGUGUCAUCAGCAGUAGUUAAGUGGUCUAGACGUAAGGAAGUUGGCUGGCUGAUGCCAAUUGACCUUACUUGAAAAUGUGGUCGCAGUUGUUGCCUACUAGCCGGGCUCUGCCAAUAUCUAAAUUUUCUCCACUGACACAAAUGAGACUUCUACAAGUAUGCUAAAAUAAAGUUGUGAGUCUCUAAACAGUAAACUUAUUAAAUGUUAUCGGGGGUUUUAAUUAUUAUAUCUUCAGGGUUUAUUAGUACUACAUAACAACUGUGAUUCCCAGGAACCAUGUUAAAUUGUCUGAGAAUGUAAUAAUUUAUUUGUGAUUUUUUUGUAAUUUCCUUUUCCCAGGAAAUAAGUAGUGAUGUGCAAGUGGUAAUGCUCUAGUAUUCUUGAUGUUUAAAAAGAAAAACAGGGAAACAAAGUCAGAUUUUUUGCGGACACUGUUGAUGAUCUGAAGUUAAAAAGUGAGGGACCAGAAUGUGGUCCCUCGAAGACACAUUCAGAUGUCACCUUCAAAAUUAAAACCACCAUCCAGGUAGACUGUUAUGCUUUUGUACAUGAAUACUCAGCUGGAUCUGUUUGAUAAAAUAUUUGCUUAAAUACAUGCACAUUAGAAAUAAUAAUUCAUGUGCCAGCAUUUCAUUAUGAGAGUCUCUUGGAAUUGAAAUUAUUUACAUUAUGCUGAGAUGCAUCUAUAACAAAUAGACUAAGAAUAAAUAAAGUGAACAUUUAUUUUAAAACAAUUGCAAGAUGUUUUACAUUUCUGCUCAGUAUCGAGCAGUGUGUUGAAAAUGCAUUUUUCAUAAAACCACAUGCAAGGCUUUUUGAUGGUGAAAAAAUCCACUCGUAACAGCCACAUGUCUAGGCAAAUCCUUAGAAGCUAGUACGGACCCCACACAGACUUUCCAGAAGAAAAGACAUAGUAGUUUCUCUUGAAGUGAAGUAGAAUAUGUGUGAGCCUACUAGGCCACUUUGAUAAAUAAAUAAGAGUAUUUUUUCUUUCUAGCACAAAACUGGUUCAACUGGAGGGCAAGUUAAACCCAGAUUCAGAUUUUACUUAGGUUUUUCUUUCUCUUUUCUUUCUUAAGUGAUCCCUUGGCUUAUAUGAUGAUACAAUUUAUUUAAAAAAAAAAAAAAAAAGAAA
This is an RNA transcript of Columba livia (rock pigeon), 37390 nucleotides long. It is a transcript of the gene named CDAN1 interacting nuclease 1, with no coding region annotated. The record is from RefSeq and is a predicted model, not a curated record. Lineage: Eukaryota; Metazoa; Chordata; Aves; Columbiformes; Columbidae. The transcript is spliced from 12 exons.